AAAAUUUUGGUGGGCUUUCAAACAGGGGAAAGGAAACCAUCAUGGGUGUCAUGGAAAGUGAUGACAAGACCUAAGUAUCUAGGAGGUCUAGGCUUCAGGGAUCUGGAACUUUUAAAUUUGGCUUUGCUAGCAAAACAGUCUUGGAUAAUUUUGCAGGACCUGACAUCUUUCAGCACAAGGAUCCUUAAGGCUUCCUACUUCCCUGAUGGUACAAUCAUUAACGUCGAACUGGGUUGUCAGCCAUAUAAAAUCUGGUGUGGUGUCUUAGAAGCUAGAGACAUAGUGAAGCAGGGUAUUAUUUGCCGAAUUAGGAAUUGCCAAUCUACUAAUAUCUGGGCUGAUAAUUGGAUUCCAAAAGAAUCUUCUUUACGACCAAUAGUAUCUCUUGUGGUGGACCCGCUUGUGAAGGUAUCUACGUUAUUAUCACCUACCACAGCCUCGUGGAAUGAAAAAUUGGUCUGGAGUAUCUUCCUACCCAUUGAUGCUGAUGAAACACAACCAAUUUUUGGGCAUGGCAUCCAGACAAGAAAGGUCGAUUCACUGUUAGCUCGACACAGACGUAUAUGA
Molecule: ribosomal RNA, 567 nt
Filed under: Triticum aestivum (bread wheat)
Lineage: Eukaryota; Viridiplantae; Streptophyta; Magnoliopsida; Poales; Poaceae
Description: partial small subunit ribosomal RNA
Source: RNAcentral